Molecule: long non-coding RNA, 1499 nt
Organism: Numida meleagris (helmeted guineafowl)
Lineage: Eukaryota; Metazoa; Chordata; Aves; Galliformes; Numididae
Exons: 6
Source: RefSeq, a predicted model, not a curated record
UGGAGCCACUGAUGUGUUCAGAUUAAGCCCUUUUGUGUUCUUCAGGGAUGUUGUAUCCUCCUUCACUUCCAACAAAUGCUGUUUUGCCAGGGUCGCUCACUGCUGGGCUUCUGUUUCAGGAUGUCAAAGCAAGGAGGCUAAAAAGCAACUGCACAAGUGAGCCUUAGAGCUCUGGAAGAUUCUUCUGCCAUGGAAACAUCAUGCACCUCCCCGCUGUUCUUCCUAUUUGCAGCAGCCCCACAGAAAUCUGAGGUAACACAACAGUAAUUAUGAAGGAAGAAAGGAUGAGAAGGUACCAUAUGUUCGUACCAUACCAGUGUGGGAAGGAAAAUGACCUUCCCUAUGUCCUUCAAGGCAAUCCACAACAGUUUUACUUGUAUCUUUAAUGUUUCAUUCAACAUAGUGUAAGACCAUGAAUAAUGAAGUUUACACUGUACAAGGAGGGCAGCUAUUGAUUUACACAUGAGUGUCCUCAAACCUACUCACAGAAGAGGAAGGAGUUAAUGGCUGUAACUGACUGUAUGAACUCUCCAGCCUCUCCCAGGAGUUCCCCAUAAGCAGAUGAUUUUUUCUCUCUCCUUGCCCACAUUAAAGGAAAUGGCAAUAAGAAAACAAGGUACUUCCAUGGUUGAUGUUGUUUUGUCAUACUGCCCCUCUGCAGCCAUCUGUUGCACGGCAAUAACAUGUAAUGGAAUAUUGGCGGAAGAGUUCACUCUCUACUGUCAUACCACGGACAUUCGCCUCUGAUGUUGUGGGCUAAACUAACAAAAUAGGAGGUACUACUUUCGGAGCAGCCUUGCGGAUGGGCAAAAUAAUGAAACUAUGACCUGCGAAUGGAGUGAAGCUUACUUUUGUGCAGCUCUGCCUUCAGCUGGAUGAAAUUCAACUGUUGGUUACCCUUUAGACAGAAAAAGUUUUCCACUGCUUGGAUUCUUCAUUGGUAUGCUGCUGAUUUGUAUCGAGUUUAGGUGAUGUUAAAAAGAUCACCUCAUUAUCACUGGGAAUUUUUCACCAGUGUAACAUUUUCUUUUGGUAGUGAGCUAUAAAAUCAUCAGGCUAUGGCCUGUUCUUUUUAUUCUGCUUUAACUAUUUGGUUUUAAAAAAGGGACUUUUAUCCCUUUUCUCAUAGAAUGAUAAUCUAAUGGUAAUUUACAGGUGAUGGACAUAUUAAAAAUGCAAAUGAUCCUUCUACUAUUAUGAAACUUUAAUUUUCUUGUGAAAGUGACAGAUGUCCUGGCUACUUAAAGCCUUCCAAGGACUGCAGAUAGGUUCCAAGAAUAAGGAUCCUAAUUAAAAGUCAGUGUGAUGAUGAAACUAAUUCUCUACAUUCAUCCCAUGUUUCAUGUAGGAAAUUUAGCUCUCAUUCGCUGCCAAAAAUUGUUGUAUAUUGUGGGUAAAAUUAAUGAUCUUCUGUUCUUCUGCAAUAAAAUGUGGCUAUGUGAGACAAUACCUCUAGAGUGGUUUUUAUUUUAUGUUUGAAAAUGUAGCAAGACUGUGUA